Molecule: ribosomal RNA, 484 nt
Filed under: uncultured bacterium
Lineage: Bacteria
Description: partial 16S ribosomal RNA
Rfam family: Bacterial small subunit ribosomal RNA
Source: RNAcentral
AUUGAACGCUGGCGGCAUGCCUUACACAUGCAAGUCGAACGGCAGCACGGGAGCAAUCCUGGUGGCGAGUGGCGAACGGGUGAGUAAUACAUCGGAACGUGCCCAAUCGUGGGGGAUAACGCAGCGAAAGCUGUGCUAAUACCGCAUACGAUCUACGGAUGAAAGCAGGGGACCGCAAGGCCUUGCGCGAAUGGAGCGGCCGAUGGCAGAUUAGGUAGUUGGUGGGGUAAAGGCUCACCAAGCCAACGAUCUGUAGCUGGUCUGAGAGGACGACCAGCCACACUGGGACUGAGACACGGCCCAGACUCCUACGGGAGGCAGCAGUGGGGAAUUUUGGACAAUGGGCGCAAGCCUGAUCCAGCCAUGCCGCGUGCAGGAUGAAGGUCUUCGGGUUGUAAACUGCUUUUGUACGGAACGAAACGGCCUUUUCUAAUAAAGAGGGCUAAUGACGGUACCGUAAGAAUAAGCACCGGCUAACUACGUG